UAUUAGAUUGGUGCAAAAGUUAUUGUGGUUUUUGCUGUUACUUUCAAUGGCAAAAACUGCAAUAACUUUUGUACUGACCUAAUA
Molecule: microRNA precursor, 84 nt
Filed under: Chlorocebus sabaeus (green monkey)
Lineage: Eukaryota; Metazoa; Chordata; Mammalia; Primates; Cercopithecidae
Description: miRNA (ENSCSAG00000023662.1)
Source: RNAcentral